This 497-nucleotide ribosomal RNA is filed under the name uncultured bacterium. RNAcentral describes it as "partial 16S ribosomal RNA". It matches the Rfam family "Bacterial small subunit ribosomal RNA", at positions 28 to 507 of the family's 1533-position model. The record is from RNAcentral.
GAUGAACGCUGGCGGCGUGCCUAAUACAUGCAAGUCGAGCGAACAGACGAGGAGCUUGCUCCUUUGACGUUAGCGGCGGACGGGUGAGUAACACGUGGGUAACCUACCUAUAAGACUGGGAUAACUUCGGGAAACCGGAGCUAAUACCGGAUAAUAUUUCGAACCGCAUGGUUCGAUAGUGAAAGAUGGCUUUGCUAUCACUUAUAGAUGGACCUGCGCCGUAUUAGCUAGUUGGUAAGGUAACGGCUCACCAAGGCAACGAUACGUAGCCGACCUGAGAGGGUGAUCGGCCACACUGGAACUGAGACACGGUCCAGACUCCUACGGGAGGCAGCAGUAGGGAAUCUUCCGCAAUGGGCGAAAGCCUGACGGAGCAACGCCGCGUGAGUGAUGAAGGUCUUCGGAUCGUAAAACUCUGUUAUUAGGGAAGAACAAACGUGUAAGUAACUGUGCACGUCUUGACGGUACCUAAUCAGAAAGCCACGGCUAACUACGUG